GUCAGCACCAUGUGAGAUGUGAGGCGCACGUUCUCUAGGAGAUAAUCCGCGCUUCAGGGAUUCUCAAGGGGCUGGAGAGAUCCACACGGGAAAAGUUGUAGAAACAGCAAAGCCACCUAUUGGCUGGGUGUUAUACACAAACAACGAAUCACAGAACGCUGCAUCAAAAACUAAUGAUGUGGGGUGCCUGGGUGGCUCAGUGGGUUAAGCCGCUGCCUUCGGCUCAGGUCAUGAUCUCAGGGUCCUGGGAUCGAGUCCCGCAUCGGGCUCUCUGCUCGGCAGGGAGCCUGCUUCCUUCUCUCUCUCUCUCUGCCUGCCUCUCAGUGUACUUGUAAUUUCUCUCUGUCAAAUAAAUAAAUAAAAACUUAAAAAACAAAACAAAACUAAUGAUGUACUGUAUAGUGACUAACAACAUGAUUAGAAAAAAAAAAAGCAAGGCCACUCACAGUUAAGUGAUGAGAGGAAACAGACCAUAAGACUCAAGGAAUUGGAGUGGGUGGGAGGGAAAAGCACAAGACUAGGGAGGGAAUGAGAAAUGUACGGGCCUAGAAGAUUUUUAGUGACAAGUAAGGAAUAGAUCAGUAGUGGAGGCAAGGCUGAUACUCGCAAACUUCGCGGACCCGCCCAGCAGUGGUGAUGGACCACAGGCUGGGGAAGCCUCUGGAGGGUGGUUGUUGAGUGGUGGCCGGGGAUAUCUGGGGAACCUGGGGAAGCAGCAAGAUGGUCAGGAUGGUGGGGGUCACUCAGGGUGCUUGGGACAGUGACUAUUUUCUAUCUAGAUAGUUCUAUCUAGUAUCUGUAUACUAGUUCUAUCUAGUAUCCAGUAUCUGCUGAAAAUCAGUCCUGAAUGAGGGCAAAAUGUAUAAGAACGUGUAAUAUUUGCUUUUGUAUCUGGCAUUUCAUUUGAUCUACCUAUCUGUGGAUCUAUUUAUCUGUCUUUCUGUCUGUCCACAAGAAACGAAAAACACAGGUGAAGGGGCGGACAUGGGUCUGAAGGCAGCCAUCACUCAUCUUUCAUUCAGUCCCUUCACCAUGCCUCUCACGAACUCGGGGCCCCUGGGUGUUGGCAGCUGGGCCCGGAGCUGAGGAGUCCAUCCAGAGCUGGAAUUGUCACCUGGGAACUGGAAGUCAUGCCACAAGCCCUGACAGAAUCUGAAAAUGGCAACAGGAGGAAACAAGUGAAUCAUCAUCUGAGUAUGGAUCCAAGUGAGGCGUCAGGGGAGGCGGGUCUGACAGGGAGGCAGGAACCCAUCAGAAAUCCAAUCACGGUGUUUUGUCGGGAACUUAUAGCUCUCCAGCAUUGCAAACAGGUUUGAGAAGGAAACAAAUAGAGCCUGAACCAACUGGACUCGAGAAUAGUAAUAUUACCAUCAUUUCGAUUUCCGUGGCUCAUUAAGAUUUGCAAAGCAUUUUCAAAUAUCUAGUUGAGCCUUCCUGACAAGUGGUAAAGCAAAUAGUGCAAAGAUUCUCAUCUACUGCUAGGGCAAAUCAGGUUUGGAGAAGGAGAGUAACUUGCCCAUUUCUUUUUAAGUAGGGUUACCAGUUGAGUAGCUCAAGGAGAGGCCAUAAACACAGAAUAUCUUCAUUUUCAUUCCAGCACAUACAAAGAGUUGCAUUGAUAUGCAUACACAUCAAUGAAUAUGGCUGGGGAAAGAGCUCAGACUGACAAAGCAUCUAUUUUUAAAAAUUGUCUUUUUUUCUGUUUACCUCUGUCUUAAUUAGCAACCCACAUAAGGACAAGAAAGUGAGCCUGUGCUGUCCGAAGACUAAAAAAGCAGAGAGAAUAAUCAGUCAGAGACCUUGAAAGACAGACAGGCAAACUUCCUUCUGCAAAGAGGAAAAAGCCACCAAUCGACUGAGCAAAGACUGGUCCACAGACAGACGGUCAGCCUCCAGGGGAACCAAGAUGAAGCUAAAGAGUAAAGGAGGAUUUCUCCGAAUUUUCAUGAAAAGUAAGAGAACCCAAGAAAUGCAAUUAUUAAUAACUGGAAUAAUAAAACAAGAUAGAAAUGUCAACAUGUUCUCCAUGGAACCCUGAGGACGUAAUUCAUAAGGAUUAACUGCGUUGGGACUGAAAUUACAUCCUCUGCACCUUGGAAGCUCAAGAACACAUCUUUAAGUGCAGACCUGCUGACAUGUCAUAAUGUCAAAGGCAGUAACAACAUUUCUUCAAAGAUCACAUGCAGGUGGCCAGCAAGUAUGUGAAAAGUUGUUCAGUAUCCCUCACCAUCAGAGAAAUGCAAAUCAAAACCACAACAAGCUGUCAUUUCACACCCGCGAAGACGGAUGCUCUUAUAAAAAUGAAAAAUAUCAAGCGCUGGUGAGGAUGUGGAGACGUUGGAAACCUUGUGCACUGUUGGCAGGAUGGUGAAACGGCACAGCCUCCAUGGAAAACCACAUGGAGGUUCCUAAAACAUUAAAAAUAGAAAUGCAUGCAGCAAUUCCACUUCUGGGUCUAUGUUGAAAGCAGCUACUUGAACAAAGUUCACAGCAGAUUUUUCACAAGAGACAACAUGUAGAAGCAACCCAAUUGCCCACCAAUGGAUAAAUGGGUAAACAAAAUGUGGUAUGUAUAUACACACACAGACACAAGGGGAUAUUAUUCAGCUUUAAAAGGGAAGGAAAUCUUGUCACAGGCUACAACACGGAUGCACCUUGAAGACAUCACGCUCAGUGAAAUAAGUCAGUGAUGGAAGGACAAGUACCCUACAAUUCCACCUAUGUGAGGAAUCUGAAGUAGUAAAAAAAAAAAAUUUUUUUUCCCACAGAAACAGAAAGUAGAAUGGUGUUUGUAAGUGGAAGGGGGAAAAGAGAAGUUAUUGUUUAAUGAAUACAGUUUCAGUUUUGCAAGAUAAAAAAGUUCUGGUGACGUGUUUCACAAUUAUGAAUGUAUUUAAGAUAGUGAACUGAUCGCUUAGAAAUGGUUAAGGUGGUAGAUUUUAUGUUAGGUGUUUACCACAAUUAAAGAAUAUAAACCAAACUGAAAAUAAAAUAAAAAAUAUUUUUAAGUGAAAAAAAAAGAAUAUAAACCAUACUACAAGAUAAUUAGGGCAGUGCUGCCCUUUUAUAACAUUUUGGAUUGCUAUAAAACAGUGAUGUUAUACAGUUAAUGUUAAGGUUUGGUUUGAUAAAACAUUUUCAUGGAAACUGCUAAUCUGUAUUCACUUGGGGUUUAUAAUUCUUGAAGUUGUCAGGUUAAACCUAGUGACAACAUAGCAAUGGAUGAGAAUAGGACAGAAGUAAAAAUUACUAGAUACUGGAAUGGGUUUUUUUAAGUGGGUAUUAAAUUUGACUCAAGCUCACUGAUAAACCUGAGAUAUAAAGGAAUAACACAAUAAACUGUGAAUUUUUGUCCAGACUAGUGAAGACAUGUUUGUCUGAAUACAUAGGGAGGAGGAGGAAAGAGAAAGAGAGGUGUGGGGAGAGAUCUAAUUAGAAUUAUGGUGAACUCUCUUAUUAUGUCAUCCUAUGGAGUUAAGCAAUUUCUCUCUCCAACUCCUCCUGCUAUUUUAGUAAAACAUGCACACAGAAAAUUCAGGUACGGCAUUUUUUAAUACUGGAAAACUGGUUGAGACAUAGUCAAACAGAAUUAUUGUUACUGUUGGUGAAUUUGAGUGAAAUUUAGGUCUGUUUCCAACAUUUUUUUAGUUUCUAAGAAGACCAAAGUGAAGGGAAGGAAGAGUAACUCUUUUUCCAUUUUGCUUGAUCAUGAACAAUAGGCUUUCUCAUCUCCAGCCCAGAAUCUUGUUUACAACCACGAAGUUCCAUUAAUAACCCUAUGGUUAAUUAAGUGAUUCCAAGUCAUAUUUCAUACUGUUGGGAAGAUUUGGAACAAGGCAGAUUGGUUGGUUAUAUGUGACUCAAGUUACUGAGAUGCUCUUUUUCUUUUUUUAAAGCUAUUUAUUUAUUUUAAAUAUUUUUAAUUUAAAUUCAGUUAAUUAACAUAUAGUAGUGUAUUAUUAGUUUCAGAGGUAGAAACUAACAACUCAUUGGUCUUAUAAAAUACCCGGUGCUCAUCACAUCAUGUGCCCUCCCUGAUGUUCAUUAUCCAGUUACCCCAUCCCCCCAUGCACCACACCCCCAAAAUCUCUCAGUUUGUUUCUUAUGAUUAAGAGUUUCUCAUGGUUUUUCUACCUUUCUGAUUUCAUCCGGUUUUGUUUUUUCAAACAAAUGAUCCUUUGUUUUGUUUCUUAAAUUCCACAUAUAAGUGAGGUCAUAUGAUAAUUAUCAUUCUCUGAUUGACUUAUUUUGCUUAACAUAAUACCCUCUAGCUCCAUCCACAUCCUUACA
This is a long non-coding RNA of Mustela lutreola (European mink), 4290 nucleotides long. RefSeq lists it as uncharacterized. The transcript is spliced from 5 exons. The record is from RefSeq and is a predicted model, not a curated record. NCBI's taxonomy places the organism in Eukaryota, Metazoa, Chordata, Mammalia, Carnivora, Mustelidae.